This 1070-nucleotide long non-coding RNA is filed under the name Piliocolobus tephrosceles (Ugandan red Colobus). RNAcentral's name for it is "lncRNA (ENSPTEG00000003064.1)". Lineage: Eukaryota; Metazoa; Chordata; Mammalia; Primates; Cercopithecidae. The record is from RNAcentral.
AAAAGAUAAACAUAAGUCAACCAAAUAAACCAAAUAAACCAAAAAAGCCAAAUAAACCAAAUAAACCAAAUCAGCAGCCGCAAAUAAAUAAUUGCUAAAACGUCUUUUUGUCAUUAUUAUUAUUAUAUUUAUUUAUUUAUUUUUUUUUUACUUCAAACAGUAUAUUCAUGUUUGUUGGGUCAAUCCUUCUGGUCAUGUUAGCUUAUACCCUUUUUGCAUAAACAUGUGUACAUAUAUAAUAGUACAUAUAGUUAUAUAUAUAUCAUGACAUGCCCCUGCAUAUACUUUUACGAUGUCUUGUCAUACUGAUAACAAUCCUAAUUACAACAACAAAAUGUGGUAUACCAGGUCUGCAUAAAUGGCUAAUAAAUAAUUUUUCAAGUUGCGUUAAAGUAGUUAAAAAAAAAAAACUACUUGAUGUUAAUACUAAUUUUUCGAAUAGUAACAUAAAAAUAAAUAACGACAUUAAAAACAUUAUUUUUAAAAAAGAUGAAGAAGAAGAAAAAAAAAAAAACAUUUUACAUGUAGACAAUGUGUUAUUCGAUUUAAAUCAGUUAUUACAUAAGGCAAAUGUGAAAUUUGUAAACUAUAAUAAUUAUUUUUUUAAACUAGCUAACUUAAUAACAAAUGUGUUACAUAUAUUCCAGCCAAGAAAAAAUAUCAUAUUUGCAAUUGAUGGUAUUUGUCCUUUUUCGAAAUUAAAACUACAAAUAAAAAGAAGAGCAAAAGAGCAAAAAAAAAAAAAAAGUAAAAUAAAAAUAAAUAACAGCAAUAGCAGCAAUAAUAAUAAUAAUAAUAAUAGUAAAAAUUCUUUACUAACUAUAAAUGACAUAACAUGUGGUAGUGCAUUUAUAAGAAAAAUCUCAAAUUUUAUGAGUAAUUUUGUUAAACAUUUAUUAACUCUAAAAAAAUAUGAACAUGUUAAUAUUUUUCUUUCGACUGAUAAAGAAGUAGGUGAAGGUGAAUUAAAGCUAAUAAAUUGGAUAAAUAAUUAUGUUAAUGUAGGCAAUGGUGUUGCAGGUGAUCAAUUUAGACAAAGUAAACUGAGUGAUAAUAUUAAUCCGGAUGAC